CGAACGCUGGCGGCGUGCUUAACACAUGCAAGUCGAACGGAAAGGCCCUGCUUUUGUGGGGUGCUCGAGUGGCGAACGGGUGAGUAACACGUGAGUAACCUGCCCUUGACUUUGGGAUAACUUCAGGAAACUGGGGCUAAUACCGGAUAGGAGCUCCUGCUGCAUGGUGGGGGUUGGAAAGUUUCGGCGGUUGGGGAUGGACUCGCGGCUUAUCAGCUUGUUGGUGGGGUAGUGGCUUACCAAGGCUUUGACGGGUAGCCGGCCUGAGAGGGUGACCGGCCACAUUGGGACUGAGAUACGGCCCAGACUCCUACGGGAGGCAGCAGUGGGGAAUAUUGCACAAUGGGCGGAAGCCUGAUGCAGCAACGCCGUGUGCGGGAUGACGGCCUUCGGGUUGUAAACCGCUUUCGCCUGUGACGAAGCGUGAGUGACGGUAAUGGGUAAAGAAGCACCGGCUAACUACGUG
This 466-nucleotide ribosomal RNA is filed under the name uncultured bacterium. RNAcentral describes it as "partial 16S ribosomal RNA". It matches the Rfam family "Bacterial small subunit ribosomal RNA", at positions 30 to 507 of the family's 1533-position model. The record is from RNAcentral.